This 46-nucleotide non-coding RNA is filed under the name Schistosoma mansoni. The record is from RNAcentral. Lineage: Eukaryota; Metazoa; Platyhelminthes; Trematoda; Strigeidida; Schistosomatidae.
GCACUGCUGAGGAGUUCCACAAUAGGGCGAAACGGGCGUCAAGUGC